RNAcentral lists this ribosomal RNA (694 nucleotides) under Acinetobacter baumannii OIFC083. Its description in RNAcentral is "bacterial SSU rRNA". It matches the Rfam family "Bacterial small subunit ribosomal RNA", at positions 28 to 716 of the family's 1533-position model. Lineage: Bacteria; Pseudomonadati; Pseudomonadota; Gammaproteobacteria; Moraxellales; Moraxellaceae. The record is from RNAcentral. RNAcentral also lists the same sequence under 4 other names.
AUUGAACGCUGGCGGCAGGCUUAACACAUGCAAGUCGAGCGGGGGAAGGUAGCUUGCUACCGGACCUAGCGGCGGACGGGUGAGUAAUGCUUAGGAAUCUGCCUAUUAGUGGGGGACAACAUCUCGAAAGGGAUGCUAAUACCGCAUACGUCCUACGGGAGAAAGCAGGGGAUCUUCGGACCUUGCGCUAAUAGAUGAGCCUAAGUCGGAUUAGCUAGUUGGUGGGGUAAAGGCCUACCAAGGCGACGAUCUGUAGCGGGUCUGAGAGGAUGAUCCGCCACACUGGGACUGAGACACGGCCCAGACUCCUACGGGAGGCAGCAGUGGGGAAUAUUGGACAAUGGGGGGAACCCUGAUCCAGCCAUGCCGCGUGUGUGAAGAAGGCCUUAUGGUUGUAAAGCACUUUAAGCGAGGAGGAGGCUACUUUAGUUAAUACCUAGAGAUAGUGGACGUUACUCGCAGAAUAAGCACCGGCUAACUCUGUGCCAGCAGCCGCGGUAAUACAGAGGGUGCGAGCGUUAAUCGGAUUUACUGGGCGUAAAGCGUGCGUAGGCGGCUUAUUAAGUCGGAUGUGAAAUCCCCGAGCUUAACUUGGGAAUUGCAUUCGAUACUGGUGAGCUAGAGUAUGGGAGAGGAUGGUAGAAUUCCAGGUGUAGCGGUGAAAUGCGUAGAGAUCUGGAGGAAUACCGAUGGC